Long non-coding RNA from Cucurbita maxima (winter squash), 245 nucleotides. RefSeq lists it as uncharacterized. Lineage: Eukaryota; Viridiplantae; Streptophyta; Magnoliopsida; Cucurbitales; Cucurbitaceae. The record is from RefSeq and is a predicted model, not a curated record. The transcript is spliced from 2 exons.
AGCUUGAAUGACAUGAAGACCACUUACAUUGCACUGAGGGUUGAGAUUUCUCACACAACUCUGAGCAAGUGUCCUGGAAAAUGCCUAUAUUGGUGCCAAAGCUCUUAGAGAUUGAAGUGACGAAAUGCAAAAACUUCAGAAACUUACCGAUGGAUCAUCGCCUCCAAUUUCUGGAAGAGUAGUCUCCCGUUUGGCUCUGUUUGAUGAUAGAACAAGUACAUUAAAAUUUGCAUUGAUCUGUUGGA